AGCUGCUCCUAGUACGAGAGGACCGGAGUGGACGAACCUCUGGUGUUCCGGUUGUCACGCCAGUGGCAUUGCCGGGUAGCUAUGUUCGGACGGGAUAACCGCUGAAAGCAUCUAAGCGGGAAGCCCCCUUCAAGAUUAGAUUUCCCUGGACCCUUGAGGUCCCUAAAGAGCCGUUGAAGACUACAACGUUGAUAGGCUGGGUGUGGAAGCGUAGUAAUGCGUGAAGCUAACCAGUACUAAUUGCUCGUGAGGCUUGGCCAUAUAACACCAAAGCACUUUGG
RNAcentral lists this ribosomal RNA (281 nucleotides) under Woeseia sp. Its description in RNAcentral is "partial 23S ribosomal RNA". It matches the Rfam family "Bacterial large subunit ribosomal RNA", at positions 2670 to 2925 of the family's 2925-position model. Lineage: Bacteria; Pseudomonadati; Pseudomonadota; Gammaproteobacteria; Woeseiales; Woeseiaceae. The record is from RNAcentral.